This 100-nucleotide small nuclear RNA is filed under the name Propithecus coquereli (Coquerel's sifaka). The record is from RNAcentral. Lineage: Eukaryota; Metazoa; Chordata; Mammalia; Primates; Indriidae.
GCACUCCCUUCAGCAGCACAUGCACUGAAGUCGGAAUGAUACAGAGAAGAUAGGCACGGCCCCUGUGCAAGGAUGACAAAGAGAAAUAUAAAAAUAAGUU